GAUGAACGCUGGCGGCGUGCCUAACACAUGCAAGUCGAACGGACAUUUUUUGGAAAGUUCUUCGGAACUGGAAUCUAAAUGUUAGUGGCGGACGGGUGAGUAGAAUGUAGAGAAUCUGCCCUUGAGCGGGGGAUAACAGUCGGAAACGAUUGCUAAUACCCCAUAUGAGGUGAGUUGAAAUACUUAUCUUGAAAACUCCGGUGCUCAAGGAUGAGUCUGCAUCUGAUUAGCUAGUUGGUGGUGUAAUGGACCACCAAGGCGAUGAUCAGUAGCUGGUUUGAGAGGGUGACCGGCCACAUUGGGACUGAGACACGGCCCAA
RNAcentral lists this ribosomal RNA (320 nucleotides) under uncultured bacterium. RNAcentral describes it as "bacterial SSU rRNA". It matches the Rfam family "Bacterial small subunit ribosomal RNA", at positions 28 to 334 of the family's 1533-position model. The record is from RNAcentral.